Molecule: ribosomal RNA, 1029 nt
Filed under: Bacillus zhangzhouensis
Lineage: Bacteria; Bacillati; Bacillota; Bacilli; Caryophanales; Bacillaceae
Description: bacterial SSU rRNA
Rfam family: Bacterial small subunit ribosomal RNA
Source: RNAcentral
CAAGUCGAGCGAACAGAAGGGAGCUUGCUCCCGGAUGUUAGCGGCGGACGGGUGAGUAACACGUGGGUAACCUGCCUGUAAGACUGGGAUAACUCCGGGAAACCGGAGCUAAUACCGGAUAGUUCCUUGAACCGCAUGGUUCAAGGAUGAAAGACGGUUUCGGCUGUCACUUACAGAUGGACCCGCGGCGCAUUAGCUAGUUGGUGGGGUAAUGGCUCACCAAGGCGACGAUGCGUAGCCGACCUGAGAGGGUGAUCGGCCACACUGGGACUGAGACACGGCCCAGACUCCUACGGGAGGCAGCAGUAGGGAAUCUUCCGCAAUGGACGAAAGUCUGACGGAGCAACGCCGCGUGAGUGAUGAAGGUUUUCGGAUCGUAAAGCUCUGUUGUUAGGGAAGAACAAGUGCGAGAGUAACUGCUCGCACCUUGACGGUACCUAACCAGAAAGCCACGGCUAACUACGUGCCAGCAGCCGCGGUAAUACGUAGGUGGCAAGCGUUGUCCGGAAUUAUUGGGCGUAAAGGGCUCGCAGGCGGUUUCUUAAGUCUGAUGUGAAAGCCCCCGGCUCAACCGGGGAGGGUCAUUGGAAACUGGGAAACUUGAGUGCAGAAGAGGAGAGUGGAAUUCCACGUGUAGCGGUGAAAUGCGUAGAGAUGUGGAGGAACACCAGUGGCGAAGGCGACUCUCUGGUCUGUAACUGACGCUGAGGAGCGAAAGCGUGGGGAGCGAACAGGAUUAGAUACCCUGGUAGUCCACGCCGUAAACGAUGAGUGCUAAGUGUUUAGGGGGUUUCCGCCCCUUAGUGCUGCAGCUAACGCAUUAAGCACUCCGCCUGGGGGAGUACGGUCGCAAGACUGAAACUCAAAGGAAUUGACGGGGGCCCGCACAAGCGGUGGAGCAUGUGGUUUAAUUCGAAGCAACGCGAAGAACCUUACCAGGUCUUGACAUCCUCUGACAACCCUAGGAGAUAGGGCUUUCCCUUCGUGGACAGAGUGAAAAGGGGGGGCAUGGGUUGUCGUCAGCUCCUG